UACGUAGGGUGCGAGCGUUGUCCGGAAUUAUUGGGCGUAAAGAGCUUGUAGGCGGUCUGUCGCGUCUGCUGUGAAAAUCCGGGGCUCAACCCCGGACUUGCAGUGGGUACGGGCAGACUAGAGUGUGGUAGGGGAGACUGGAAUUCCUGGUGUAGCGGUGAAAUGCGCAGAUAUCGGGGGGAAUACCAGUGGCGAAAGCGGCACCCUAGCAUUUUUCUGACGCUCAUGUGCGAAAGCGUGGGGAGCGAACGGG
RNAcentral lists this ribosomal RNA (253 nucleotides) under uncultured bacterium. RNAcentral's name for it is "partial 16S ribosomal RNA". It matches the Rfam family "Bacterial small subunit ribosomal RNA", at positions 524 to 776 of the family's 1533-position model. The record is from RNAcentral.